RNAcentral lists this ribosomal RNA (426 nucleotides) under uncultured bacterium. RNAcentral's name for it is "bacterial SSU rRNA". It matches the Rfam family "Bacterial small subunit ribosomal RNA", at positions 354 to 777 of the family's 1533-position model. The record is from RNAcentral.
GUGAGGAAUAUUGGUCAAUGGGCGGGAGCCUGAACCAGCCAAGUCGCGUGAGGGAAGACGGUCCUAUGGAUUGUAAACCUCUUUUGUCGGGGAGCAAAGAGACAUCGCGAUGUCAAAAGUGAGAGUACCCGAAGAAAAAGCAUCGGCUAACUCCGUGCCAGCAGCCGCGGUAAUACGGAGGAUGCGAGCGUUAUCCGGAUUUAUUGGGUUUAAAGGGUGCGUAGGCGGACUGGAAAGUCAGCGGUAAAAUUGAGAGGCUCAACCUCUUCCCGCCGUUGAAACUGUCGGUCUUGAGUGGGCGAGAAGUAUGCGGAAUGCGUGGUGUAGCGGUGAAAUGCAUAGAUAUCACGCAGAACUCCGAUUGCGAAGGCAGCAUACCGGCGCCCAACUGACGCUGAGGCACGAAAGCGUGGGUAUCAAACAGGA